RNAcentral lists this ribosomal RNA (322 nucleotides) under uncultured bacterium. Its description in RNAcentral is "bacterial SSU rRNA". It matches the Rfam family "Bacterial small subunit ribosomal RNA", at positions 29 to 342 of the family's 1533-position model. The record is from RNAcentral.
AACGAACGCUGGCGGCGGGCCUCAUACAUGCAAGUCGAGCGCGAAAGUCCGCAAGGAUGAGUAAAGCGGCGCACGGGUGAGUAACACGUGGGUAAUCUACCUUUUGGAUUGGAAUAACCCUGUCGAAAGACGGGCUAAUGCCGAGUAAGCCUUCUUGAACGUGAAGUUCGAGACGGGAAAGAUGGCGCAAGCUAUCGCCCGAAAGAUGAGCCUGCGUCCCAUUAGUUAGUGGUGGGUAAUGGCUUACCAAGACAAUGAUGGGUACCUGGUUUGAGAGAAUGAAUCAGGCACACUGGAACUGAAACACGGUCCAGACUCCUAC